GACGAACGUUGGCGGCGUGCUUAACACAUGCAAGUCGAACGGAAAGGCCCUGCUUUUGUGGGGUGCUCGAGUGGCGAACGGGUGAGUAACACGUGAGUAACCUGCCCUUGACUUUGGGAUAACUUCAGGAAACUGGGGCUAAUACCGGAUAGGAGCUCCUGCUGCAUGGUGGGGGUUGGAAAGUUUCGGCGGUUGGGGAUGGACUCGCGGCUUAUCAGCUUGUUGGUGGGGUAGUGGCUUACCAAGGCUUUGACGGGUAGCCGGCCUGAGAGGGUGACCGGCCACAUUGGGACUGAGAUACGGCCCAGACUCCUACGGGAGGCAGCAGUGGGGAAUAUUGCACAAUGGGCGGAAGCCUGAUGCAGCAACGCCGCGUGCGGGAUGACGGCCUUCGGGUUGUAAACCGCUUUCGCCUGUGACGAAGCGUGAGUGACGGUAAUGGGUAAAGAAGCACCGGCUAACUACGUGCCAGCAGCCGCGGUGAUACGUAGGGUGCGAGCGUUGUCCGGAUUUAUUGGGCGUAAAGGGCUCGUAGGUGGUUGAUCGCGUCGGAAGUGUAAUCUUGGGGCUUAACCCUGAGCGUGCUUUCGAUACGGGUUGACUUGAGGAAGGUAGGGGAGAAUGGAAUUCCUGGUGGAGCGGUGGAAUGCGCAGAUAUCAGGAGGAACACCAGUGGCGAAGGCGGUUCUCUGGGCCUUUCCUGACGCUGAGGAGCGAAAGCGUGGGGAGCGAACAGGCUUAGAUACCCUGGUAGUCCACGCUGUAAACGGUGGGUACUAGGUGUGGGGUCCAUUCCACGGGUUCCGUGCCGUAGCUAACGCUUUAAGUACCCCGCCUGGGGAGUACGGCCGCAAGGCUAAAACUCAAAGGAAUUGACGGGGCCCCGCACAAGCGGCGGAGCAUGCGGAUUAAUUCGAUGCAACGCGUAGAACCUUACCUGGGUUUGACAUGGAUCGGGAGCGCUCAGAGAUGGGUGUGCCUCUUUUGGGGUCGGUUCACAGGUGGUGCAUGGCUGUCGUCAGCUCGUGUCGUGAGAUGUUGGGUUAAGUCCCGCAACGAGCGCAACCCUUGUUCACUGUUGCCAGCACGUUAUGGUGGGGACUCAGUGGAGACCGCCGGGGUCAACUCGGAGGAAGGUGGGGAUGACGUCAAGUCAUCAUGCCCCUUAUGUCCAGGGCUUCACGCAUGCUACAAUGGCUGGUACAGAGAGUGGCGAGCCUGUGAGGGUGAGCGAAUCUCGGAAAGCCGGUCUCAGUUCGGAUUGGGGUCUGCAACUCGACCUCAUGAAGUCGGAGUCGCUAGUAGUCGCAGAUCAGCAACGCUGCGGUGAAUAAGUUCCCGGGGCU
This 1346-nucleotide ribosomal RNA is filed under the name uncultured bacterium. RNAcentral describes it as "bacterial SSU rRNA". It matches the Rfam family "Bacterial small subunit ribosomal RNA", at positions 28 to 1381 of the family's 1533-position model. The record is from RNAcentral.